RNAcentral lists this unclassified non-coding RNA (221 nucleotides) under Hevea brasiliensis (rubber tree). The record is from RNAcentral. Lineage: Eukaryota; Viridiplantae; Streptophyta; Magnoliopsida; Malpighiales; Euphorbiaceae.
GUGGCAGCCCUUGAGGUCCGCCUUGAAAUCUGGCGGUUGUCAUCAAUGCUGCUGUUGCCAAAACAGCAGUGUUUCAAACAGGUGUAAAUGUAAGUCAGGAGCCAAAAUAUGUAAGGAGAACCAACCAAGAUCAAUCCUGCAGGAGCAAACCACGGCUGAGAGUAAUCUGGCACGAAAAGGUAGAGAACAAGGAGGACACCACCAGUUAAUAAACAAAGACA